RNAcentral lists this ribosomal RNA (253 nucleotides) under uncultured bacterium. RNAcentral describes it as "partial 16S ribosomal RNA". It matches the Rfam family "Bacterial small subunit ribosomal RNA", at positions 524 to 776 of the family's 1533-position model. The record is from RNAcentral.
AACGUAGGCAGCAAGCGUUGUUCGGAUUUACUGGGCGUAAAGGGUGCGUAGGCGGGUUUGUAAGUUUGGUGUGAAAUCUCCCGGCUUAACUGGGAGGGUGCGCCGAAAACUGCAAGGCUAGAGUGCAGGAGAGGAGGGUGGAAUUCCUGGUGUAGCGGUGAAAUGCGUAGAUAUCAGGAGGAACACCAGUGGCGAAGGCGGCCGUCUGGACCGUUACCGACGCUGAAACACGAAAGCGUGGGGAGCAAACAGG